UACAGAGGUCCCGAGCGUUGUCCGGAUUUACUGGGCGUAAAGAGCGCGCAGGCGGUCGUUCAAGUCGAGUGUGAAAGCCCCCGGCUCAACUGGGGAGGGUCAUUCGAUACUGAUCGACUCGAAGGCAGGAGAGGGAAGUGGAAUUCCCGGUGUAGUGGUGAAAUGCGUAGAUAUCGGGAGGAACACCAGUGGCGAAGGCGACUUCCUGGCCUGUUCUUGACGCUGAGGCGCGAAAGCUAGGGGAGCAAACGGG
Molecule: ribosomal RNA, 253 nt
Filed under: uncultured bacterium
Lineage: Bacteria
Description: partial 16S ribosomal RNA
Rfam family: Bacterial small subunit ribosomal RNA
Source: RNAcentral